Long non-coding RNA from Panicum virgatum (switchgrass), 1434 nucleotides. RefSeq lists it as uncharacterized. Lineage: Eukaryota; Viridiplantae; Streptophyta; Magnoliopsida; Poales; Poaceae. The transcript is spliced from 4 exons. The record is from RefSeq and is a predicted model, not a curated record.
GGACCCACUUCGCAGCAUUGCCGUAGCCCUGCCCGGCCACGCCACUUCGCCGUCGCAGCCCCCGCCCAGCCGCGCCACUCCGCCGUCAGCCUCGCCCAACUGCCUCCUUGCCAACGCAAACGAUUCCGAUGCGACGCUGCGGGCGGCGCUGCUGUCUACCCCGGCAACGGUGGCGGAGGAGCAGGAUGCAGUGGCGAGGGAUGUGGUAGAGGUGGGGCGCGGGGAAGGCUGCCCAGGCGGGGAUGAGCGACAGGUCGAUGGGGACGACACCCGGUCGCCGCCUGGCGGUGGGGACAAAGCUAGGGCCGGCAAAUUCAAAAGUGCGGGAGCAAAUGGGAAAACAUGGAAUUGAGCAAGAGCUGGCCAAAGAGCACCGCAAGCGGAAGUAGUUUGAAGUUUUUGUUGGUGGGCUAGAUAAAGAUGCAACAGAAAAUGACCUUAGGAAGGUUUUUUUGGUGAAGUUGGUGAUAUAACUCAAGUUCGUCUGAUGAUGAAUCCUGUCACAAAGAAGAACAAAGGCUUUGCCUUCCUGCGAUAUGCAACUGUGGAGCAAGCAAAGCGUGUUGUUUCAGAGCUAAAGAAUCCGUUGGUUGGUUUUAAGACCUCACUAUUUUGUGUUUGUGUCAUAUCCUUUUCACAAGUGUCUUCAUGUUCUAUUUAAUACUUUAUUAGGUGCAGGGUAAACAGUGUGGUGUUGCUCCAAGUCAUGAUAAUGAUACACUCUUCGUUCGCAAUAUCUGCAAAACAUGGAUAAAAGAACAUUUGAAGGACAAACUGAAGAAUUAUGGAGUUGAGAAUUUUGAUGAUUUACUACUGGUAGAGGAUAGCUAUAAUCCAGGAAUGAAUCGUGGCUAUGCUUUGCUCCAGUUUUCUACUCGACCUGAAGCAAUGGAUGCUUUCAUGAUAUGGCAGAAAAGGGAUUUAGUUGAUGAUUCCUUCGCUGAUUCCUGCCCCCAAGUUGAUGAUGAAAUACUGGCACAGGUGACCGAUUUUGCACAGUAAUUCCCUAAGUGGCUCUGCGGGUCAAAAAAAGAAUUCCUAACAUGGAUUGUCCAUUAGCUCUCACCUCCCAGGGUUGGAAAAUAAGGCGGGAAAGAGUUCAUGGUGAGAGUGUGCGCUGCUACAACGUGAGAGCUUAGUUCGAUGAGCUCCUCACGCCUCACCUGGUUAUGGAGAUUACACCAUUUCCCGCUGGACAUCUUACAAAUAAUGACUACCGCAAGGAGGAGAGGCUUGAGAUGGUGUCGAGACUAAGUGCUUCCAUUCUAAAACUACGGACUGAUUUUCCAUUUCCCUAAUAUUUUCUUUGCCCAAGUUGUAAAUUGUUUACCACUUAUCAAUGGGCCUGUACAUUGAUGCAAUUGGCUAAGAACUGCUUGUAUCCCUUGGGUUCUGCUCAGAUUGCCUUUUAAUUAACGCAUCUUAUCUCUAUCA